CGUAGGGGGCCAGCGUUGUCCGGAAUCAUUGGGCGUAAAGCGCGCGUAGGCGGCCAGACAAGUCCGGUGUGAAAGUCACAGGCUCAACCUGUGAAUGCCGCUGGAAACUGUCUGGCUAGAGUCCGGAAGGGGCGAGUGGAAUUCCUGGUGUAGCGGUGAAAUGCGCAGAUAUCAGGAGGAACACCUAUGGCGAAGGCAGCUCGCUGGGACGGUACUGACGCUGAGGCGCGAAAGCGUGGGGAGCGAACAGGAUUAGAUACCCUGGUAGUCCACGCCGUAAACGAUGGGCACUAGGUGUGGGAGGUGUCGACUCCUCCUGUGCCGAAGCUAACGCAUUAAGUGCCCCGCCUGGGGAGUACGGCCGCAAGGCUA
RNAcentral lists this ribosomal RNA (372 nucleotides) under uncultured organism. RNAcentral describes it as "bacterial SSU rRNA". It matches the Rfam family "Bacterial small subunit ribosomal RNA", at positions 526 to 896 of the family's 1533-position model. The record is from RNAcentral.